This 916-nucleotide ribosomal RNA is filed under the name uncultured beta proteobacterium. RNAcentral's name for it is "bacterial SSU rRNA". It matches the Rfam family "Bacterial small subunit ribosomal RNA", at positions 8 to 916 of the family's 1533-position model. The record is from RNAcentral. Lineage: Bacteria; Pseudomonadati; Pseudomonadota; Betaproteobacteria.
AGAGUUUGAUCCUGGCUCAGAUUGAACGCUGGCGGUAUGCUUUACACAUGCAAGUCGAACGGCAGCAUGGGUGCUUGCACCUGAUGGCGAGUGGCGAACGGGUGAGUAAUGUAUCGGAACGUGUCCGGAAGUGGGGGAUAACACAUCGAAAGAUGUGCUAAUACCGCAUAUGCCCUGAGGGGGAAAGGUGGGGAUCGCAAGACCUAUCGCUUUCGGAGUGGCCGGUAUCGGAUUAGCUAGUUGGUGGGGUAAAGGCCCACCAAGGCGACGAUCCGUAGCUGGUCUGAGAGGACGACCAGCCACACUGGGACUGAGACGCGGCCCAGACUCCUACGGGAGGCAGCAGUGGGGAAUUUUGGACAAUGGGGGCAACCCUGAUCCAGCCAUACCGCGUGAGUGAAGAAGGCCUUCGGGUUGUAAAGCUCUUUCGGCAGGAAAGAAAUCGCCAUCUCUAACAUAGGUGGUGGAUGACGGUACCUGAAGAAGAAGCACCGGCUAACUACGUGCCAGCAGCCGCGGUAAUACGUAGGGUGCGAGCGUUAAUCGGAAUUACUGGGCGUAAAGCGUGCGCAGGCGGCUUUUUAAGCCAGAUGUGAAACCCCCGGGCUUAACCUGGGAACUGCAUUUGGAACUGGAAGGCUAGAGUGUAGCAGAGGGGGGUAGAAUUCCACGUGUAGCAGUGAAAUGCGUAGAGAUGUGGAGGAAUACCGAUGGCGAAGGCAGCCCCCUGGGUUAACACUGACGCUCAUGCACGAAAGCGUGGGGAGCAAACAGGAUUAGAUACCCUGGUAGUCCACGCCCUAAACGAUGUCAACUAGGUGUUGGGGAAGGAGACUUCUUUAGUACCGCAGCUAACGCGUGAAGUUGACCGCCUGGGGAGUACGGUCGCAAGAUUAAAACUCAAAGGAAUUGACGG